RNAcentral lists this ribosomal RNA (376 nucleotides) under uncultured Cryptomonas. Its description in RNAcentral is "partial small subunit ribosomal RNA". It matches the Rfam family "Eukaryotic small subunit ribosomal RNA", at positions 30 to 432 of the family's 1831-position model. Lineage: Eukaryota; Cryptophyceae; Cryptomonadales; Cryptomonadaceae. The record is from RNAcentral.
GCUUGUCUCAAAGAUUAAGCCAUGCAUGUCUUAGUGUAAAUAACUCUUAUGAAACUGCGAAUGGCUCAUUAAAUCAGUUAUCAAAUACGUGAUGGUCGCCUACUACAUGGAUAACCGUAGUAAUUCUAGAGCUAAUACAUGCACAAAGGCCCAUUCACGUGGGUUGUGAUUAUUAGAUUCAAACCGGCCUCGUUCUGGUGAUUCAUAAUAACUGAUCGAAUCUCAAAUUUGAGAUAAAUCAUUCAAGUUUCUGCCCUAUCAGCUUUCGAUGGUAGUGUAUUGGACUACCAUGGCAGUAACGGGUAACGAAGAAUUAGGGUUCGAUUUCGGAGAGGGAGCAUGAGAAACGGCUACCACAUCUAAGGAAGGCAGCAGG